AUUGAACGCUGGCGGCAGGCUUAACACAUGCAAGUCGAGCGGGGGAAGGUAGCUUGCUACCGGACCUAGCGGCGGACGGGUGAGUAAUGCUUAGGAAUCUGCCUAUUAGUGGGGGACAACAUCUCGAAAGGGAUGCUAAUACCGCAUACGUCCUACGGGAGAAAGCAGGGGAUCUUCGGACCUUGCGCUAAUAGAUGAGCCUAAGUCGGAUUAGCUAGUUGGUGGGGUAAAGGCCUACCAAGGCGACGAUCUGUAGCGGGUCUGAGAGGAUGAUCCGCCACACUGGGACUGAGACACGGCCCAGACUCCUACGGGAGGCAGCAGUGGGGAAUAUUGGACAAUGGGGGGAACCCUGAUCCAGCCAUGCCGCGUGUGUGAAGAAGGCCUUGUGGUUGUAAAGCACUUUAAGCGAGGAGGAGGCUACUCUAGUUAAUACCUAGGGAUAGUGGACGUUACUCGCAGAAUAAGCACCGGCUAACUCUGUGCCAGCAGCCGAAGUAA
Molecule: ribosomal RNA, 501 nt
Filed under: uncultured bacterium
Lineage: Bacteria
Description: partial 16S ribosomal RNA
Rfam family: Bacterial small subunit ribosomal RNA
Source: RNAcentral